Molecule: non-coding RNA, 434 nt
Filed under: Shewanella benthica KT99
Lineage: Bacteria; Pseudomonadati; Pseudomonadota; Gammaproteobacteria; Alteromonadales; Shewanellaceae
Description: bacterial LSU rRNA
Rfam family: Bacterial large subunit ribosomal RNA
Source: RNAcentral
GAGUUCUAUCGACGGCGGUGUUUGGCACCUCGAUGUCGGCUCAUCACAUCCUGGGGCUGAAGUCGGUCCCAAGGGUAUGGCUGUUCGCCAUUUAAAGUGGUACGCGAGCUGGGUUCAGAACGUCGUGAGACAGUUCGGUCCCUAUCUGCCGUGGGCGUUGGAUGAUUGAAGGAAGCUGCUCCUAGUACGAGAGGACCGGAGUGGACGAACCGCUGGUGUUCGGGUUGUUAUGCCAAUAGCAUUGCCCGGUAGCUACGUUCGGAAUCGAUAACCGCUGAAAGCAUCUAAGCGGGAAGCGAGUCCUAAGAUGAGUCAUCCCUAGGGAUUUAAUUCCUCUAAAGAGCCGUUCGAGACUAGGACGUUGAUAGGCAGGGUGUGUAAGUGCUGUGAGGCAUUGAGCUAACCUGUACUAAUGACUCGUGAGGCUUAACCAU